Molecule: long non-coding RNA, 286 nt
Organism: Diprion similis
Lineage: Eukaryota; Metazoa; Arthropoda; Insecta; Hymenoptera; Diprionidae
Exons: 2
Source: RefSeq, a predicted model, not a curated record
CUCGAAUUCUUUCGGAUUAUUCUUCAUCACAGAUACCGUACUGCAAUGAAAGGGCGGGAGAAGUAGCGGAACUUUGUGAUAGAGGGAGGGGAGAGUAAUUAGUUUCGCUCUCGUCCCGGAUAGUCAGUCAGUCAGUUAGUCAGUCAGUAGAACUUGGAACUCGGUUGGGUCAGUGUUCGUGUUAAACUGCCUAAGUGCCCGUGAUCACCGAAUUUUACGCGGGUGAUUAUUCGAGAAUAACGUCAAUUAGCCAGAAUUGAUAUUCACACUGAUAGAUAAACCCCUC